GCGUGUAUAGCUCAAUUGGCAGAGCAGGAGAUUUCCAAUCUUCAGGUUGCAGGUUCGAUGCCUGUUACACGCU
RNAcentral lists this transfer RNA (73 nucleotides) under Candidatus Riesia sp. RNAcentral describes it as "tRNA-Gly". It matches the Rfam family "tRNA". Rfam says of the family: Transfer RNA (tRNA) molecules are approximately 80 nucleotides in length. The record is from RNAcentral. Lineage: Bacteria; Pseudomonadati; Pseudomonadota; Gammaproteobacteria; Enterobacterales; Enterobacteriaceae.